Molecule: ribosomal RNA, 482 nt
Filed under: uncultured bacterium
Lineage: Bacteria
Description: partial 16S ribosomal RNA
Rfam family: Bacterial small subunit ribosomal RNA
Source: RNAcentral
GACGAACGCUGGCGGCGCGCUUAACACAUGCAAGUCGAGCGAUGAAAUCUUAACAGAACCCUUCGGGGUGAAGAUAAGACGGAUUAGCGGCGGACGGGUGAGUAACACGUGAGUAACCUGCCUUUUACACAGGGAUAGCCUCAGGAAACCGGGAUUAAAACCUGAUGAAACUAUCAAAUCACAUGAUUAAGAAAGUUAAAACUCCGGUGGUAAAAGAUGGACUCGCGUCCCAUUAGCUAGUUGGUGAAGGUAACGGCCCACCAAGGCAACGAUGGGUAGCCGGCCUGAGAGGGUGAACGGCCACAUUGGAACUGAGAAACGGUCCAAACUCCUACGGGAGGCAGCAGUGGGGAAUACUGCACAAUGGGGGAAACCCUGAUGCAGCGACGCCGCGUGAGCGAAGAAGGCCUUCGGGUCGUAAAGCUCUUUUAUAUGGGAAGAUAAUGACGGUACCAUAAGAAAAAGCCCCGGCUAACUACGUG